RNAcentral lists this long non-coding RNA (378 nucleotides) under Phasianus colchicus (ring-necked pheasant). RNAcentral's name for it is "lncRNA (ENSPCLG00000018506.1)". Lineage: Eukaryota; Metazoa; Chordata; Aves; Galliformes; Phasianidae. The record is from RNAcentral.
CUGGCUCCCAUCUCCACACCUGCAUCGUCCCUUGUUGUUCUAAGCAGAGAGACCUCACCUGGAGCUUCACAUCUAUGGACACAAAAGUGUGCUGGGGAAGGCUCAAACACCAGGCUGGGUUGCCUGGGGUUGCAGGCCCCGCCAAAGCAAACAAGGAGCUCUGAGGUGGGUCUGAGGCAAGCUGGUCAUCAGCGAGGAGUGGUGAAACAGCCAAGUCUGAAGGAGUGUGGCCUGGUUGGCAAACAGGGAGUACAGUGUUGACUGUCCCUCAGGAAGAGAAAUGAGGAAUAUUAACCCGUAUCGAGCGAAAAGAGGCUGUAGGAAAGCCAGAAAAAGAACAAGCAUCUCCAGAGUUAACAGACUAAUGCCUUAACCACG